Long non-coding RNA from Phyllostomus discolor (pale spear-nosed bat), 494 nucleotides. RefSeq lists it as uncharacterized. The record is from RefSeq and is a predicted model, not a curated record. NCBI's taxonomy places the organism in Eukaryota, Metazoa, Chordata, Mammalia, Chiroptera, Phyllostomidae. The transcript is spliced from 2 exons.
CAGGCCUGGGCGUGAAACGUGCUCUGCAAAACUGCAGGAACAGAGUGUCCUAUUACAAGAAAGAAAACAGUCAAAUUUCCUAUUUAAGUGUAUGCUGUAAUAUCAAAAUCAACAUGCCUAUAUAUGUUUUCUUUUUUACCAGCAAUCCAUACAGAAUUAUUUUUAUUUUUCUAUUUAUUUAUUGACUCCUUUUCUGUAGAUUUUAAAUUUCUAACUACUUGAGGAAGAGUUAGGUCUGAAAUCCUCUUUAUUUCCUUUAUGUGAAGUGGGGAGUGUCAGAUGCCUGGGUAUGCGUGUUGAUACAUGCAUCAGUAAUAACCAAAAAUAGUUCCUGGACAGAAACAACAGCUCUACAUUAACAAUUAUUAAGUUGUCAGUGUUGCACACUUAGUCAACAUUUAUUUUAGUAGUAACACAAUGAUGCGGCACAUCAAUAGAAGAAACUCAAGAAAAAAAUAAUCAAAAUAUCCAUUUAAGAAAAACAAAUAAAAAUA